Danio rerio (zebrafish) is the source of this 71-nucleotide non-coding RNA. Lineage: Eukaryota; Metazoa; Chordata; Actinopteri; Cypriniformes; Danionidae. The record is from Rfam.
CCAUUGGUGGUUUAGUGGUAAAACUCUUGCCUCCCACACAGGAGACCUGGGUCUGACUCCCGGCCAACGCA